AAAACAGACUCUAACUCUGAUUCUUUGGGCUCCAAAAAGAGCUCAGCGAUGAUGAGGUUCAUCUGCUACUGCUGUCAGAAGCCAGGCCAGCGUAAGAGGGACUGCCUCAAGAGGCUCCAGCCAUGCCCUGA
Molecule: long non-coding RNA, 131 nt
Organism: Octodon degus (degu)
Lineage: Eukaryota; Metazoa; Chordata; Mammalia; Rodentia; Octodontidae
Exons: 3
Source: RefSeq, a predicted model, not a curated record